RNAcentral lists this ribosomal RNA (265 nucleotides) under uncultured Enterobacterales bacterium. Its description in RNAcentral is "partial 16S ribosomal RNA". It matches the Rfam family "Bacterial small subunit ribosomal RNA", at positions 524 to 783 of the family's 1533-position model. The record is from RNAcentral. Lineage: Bacteria; Pseudomonadati; Pseudomonadota; Gammaproteobacteria; Enterobacterales.
UACGUAGGGUGCAAGCGUUAUUCGGAAUUACUGGGCGUAAAGAGCACGCAGGCGGUCUGUCAAGUCGUAUGUGAAAUUCCCACCAGCUCAACUUGGGGAGUGCAGUCGAUACUGGCAGGCUAGAGUACUGUAGAGGUGGGGUAGAAUUCCAGGUGUAGCGGUGAAAUGCGUAGAUGAUCUGGAGGAAUCACCGAUGGCGAAGGCGGCCUCCUGGACAAUGACUGACGCUCAGGUGCGAAAGCAUGGGGAGCAAACAGGAUUAGAU